Molecule: ribosomal RNA, 2903 nt
Filed under: Enterobacter hormaechei
Lineage: Bacteria; Pseudomonadati; Pseudomonadota; Gammaproteobacteria; Enterobacterales; Enterobacteriaceae
Description: 23S ribosomal RNA
Rfam family: Bacterial large subunit ribosomal RNA
Source: RNAcentral
UUAAGCGACUAAGCGUACACGGUGGAUGCCCUGGCAGUCAGAGGCGAUGAAGGACGUGCUAAUCUGCGAAAAGCGCCGGCGAGGUGAUAUGAACCUUUGACCCGGCGAUGUCCGAAUGGGGAAACCCAGUGCAAUCCGUUGCACUAUCGUUAACUGAAUACAUAGGUUAACGAGGCGAACCGGGGGAACUGAAACAUCUAAGUACCCCGAGGAAAAGAAAUCAACCGAGAUUCCCCCAGUAGCGGCGAGCGAACGGGGAGCAGCCCGGAGUCUGAAUCAGCUUGUGUGUUAGUGGAACGGUCUGGAAAGUCCGACGGUACAGGGUGAUAGUCCCGUACACGAAAGCACACAUGCUGUGAACUCGAAGAGUAGGGCGGGACACGUGGUAUCCUGUCUGAAUAUGGGGGGACCAUCCUCCAAGGCUAAAUACUCCUGACUGACCGAUAGUGAACCAGUACCGUGAGGGAAAGGCGAAAAGAACCCCGGCGAGGGGAGUGAAAAAGAACCUGAAACCGUGUACGUACAAGCAGUGGGAGCCUCUUUAUGGGGUGACUGCGUACCUUUUGUAUAAUGGGUCAGCGACUUAUAUUCUGUAGCAAGGUUAACCGUAUAGGGGAGCCGAAGGGAAACCGAGUCUUAACUGGGCGUUAAGUUGCAGGGUAUAGACCCGAAACCCGGUGAUCUAGCCAUGGGCAGGUUGAAGGUUGGGUAACACUAACUGGAGGACCGAACCGACUAAUGUUGAAAAAUUAGCGGAUGACCUGUGGCUGGGGGUGAAAGGCCAAUCAAACCGGGAGAUAGCUGGUUCUCCCCGAAAGCUAUUUAGGUAGCGCCUCGUGAACUCAUCUUCGGGGGUAGAGCACUGUUUCGGCUAGGGGGCCAUCCCGGCUUACCAACCCGAUGCAAACUACGAAUACCGAAGAAUGUUAUCACGGGAGACACACGGCGGGUGCUAACGUCCGUCGUGAAGAGGGAAACAACCCAGACCGCCAGCUAAGGUCCCAAAGUCAUGGUUAAGUGGGAAACGAUGUGGGAAGGCACAGACAGCCAGGAUGUUGGCUUAGAAGCAGCCAUCAUUUAAAGAAAGCGUAAUAGCUCACUGGUCGAGUCGGCCUGCGCGGAAGAUGUAACGGGGCUAAACCAUGCACCGAAGCUGCGGCAGCGACGCUUAUGCGUUGUUGGGUAGGGGAGCGUUCUGUAAGCCGUUGAAGGUGUGCUGUGAGGCAUGCUGGAGGUAUCAGAAGUGCGAAUGCUGACAUAAGUAACGAUAAAGCGGGUGAAAAGCCCGCUCGCCGGAAGACCAAGGGUUCCUGUCCAACGUUAAUCGGGGCAGGGUGAGUCGACCCCUAAGGCGAGGCCGAAAGGCGUAGUCGAUGGGAAACAGGUUAAUAUUCCUGUACUUGGUGUUACUGCGAAGGGGGGACGGAGAAGGCUAUGUCAGCCGGGCGACGGUUGUCCCGGUUUAAGCAUGUAGGCGGAGGUUCCAGGUAAAUCCGGUACCUUAUUAACGCUGAGGUGUGAUGACGAGGCACUACGGUGCUGAAGUGAUAAAUGCCCUGCUUCCAGGAAAAGCCUCUAAGCAUCAGGUAACACGAAAUCGUACCCCAAACCGACACAGGUGGUCAGGUAGAGAAUACCAAGGCGCUUGAGAGAACUCGGGUGAAGGAACUAGGCAAAAUGGUGCCGUAACUUCGGGAGAAGGCACGCUGAUAUGUAGGUGAAGUCCCUGCGGACGGAGCUGAAAUCAGUCGAAGAUACCAGCUGGCUGCAACUGUUUAUUAAAAACACAGCACUGUGCAAACACGAAAGUGGACGUAUACGGUGUGACGCCUGCCCGGUGCCGGAAGGUUAAUUGAUGGGGUUAGCGGCAACGCGAAGCUCUUGAUCGAAGCCCCGGUAAACGGCGGCCGUAACUAUAACGGUCCUAAGGUAGCGAAAUUCCUUGUCGGGUAAGUUCCGACCUGCACGAAUGGCGUAAUGAUGGCCAGGCUGUCUCCACCCGAGACUCAGUGAAAUUGAACUCGCUGUGAAGAUGCAGUGUACCCGCGGCAAGACGGAAAGACCCCGUGAACCUUUACUAUAGCUUGACACUGAACACUGGUCCUUGAUGUGUAGGAUAGGUGGGAGGCUUUGAAGCGUGGACGCCAGUCUGCGUGGAGCCAACCUUGAAAUACCACCCUUUAAUGGCUGGUGUUCUAACGUAGACCCGUAAUCCGGGUUGCGGACAGUGUCUGGUGGGUAGUUUGACUGGGGCGGUCUCCUCCCAAAGAGUAACGGAGGAGCACGAAGGUUGGCUAAUCCUGGUCGGACAUCAGGAGGUUAGUGCAAUGGCAUAAGCCAGCUUGACUGCGAGCGUGACGGCGCGAGCAGGUGCGAAAGCAGGUCAUAGUGAUCCGGUGGUUCUGAAUGGAAGGGCCAUCGCUCAACGGAUAAAAGGUACUCCGGGGAUAACAGGCUGAUACCGCCCAAGAGUUCAUAUCGACGGCGGUGUUUGGCACCUCGAUGUCGGCUCAUCACAUCCUGGGGCUGAAGUAGGUCCCAAGGGUAUGGCUGUUCGCCAUUUAAAGUGGUACGCGAGCUGGGUUUAGAACGUCGUGAGACAGUUCGGUCCCUAUCUGCCGUGGGCGCUGGAGAAUUGAGGGGGGCUGCUCCUAGUACGAGAGGACCGGAGUGGACGCAUCACUGGUGUUCGGGUUGUCAUGCCAAUGGCACUGCCCGGUAGCUAAAUGCGGAAGAGAUAAGUGCUGAAAGCAUCUAAGCACGAAACUUGCCCCGAGAUGAGUUCUCCCUGAGACCUUGAGUCUCCUGAAGGAACGUUGAAGACGACGACGUUGAUAGGUCGGGUGUGUAAGCGCAGCGAUGCGUUGAGCUAACCGAUACUAAUGAACCGUGAGGCUCAACCU